UACGAAGGGGGCUAGCGUUGCUCGGAAUCACUGGGCGUAAAGCGCACGUAGGCGGAUUGUUAAGUCAGGGGUGAAAUCCUGGAGCUCAACUCCAGAACUGCCUUUGAUACUGGCGACCUUGAGUCCGGGAGAGGUGAGUGGAACUGCGAGUGUAGAGGUGAAAUUCGUAGAUAUUCGCAAGAACACCAGUGGCGAAGGCGGCUCACUGGCCCGGUACUGACGCUGAGGUGCGAAGGCGUGGGGAGCAAACAGG
Molecule: ribosomal RNA, 253 nt
Filed under: uncultured bacterium
Lineage: Bacteria
Description: partial 16S ribosomal RNA
Rfam family: Bacterial small subunit ribosomal RNA
Source: RNAcentral